Molecule: ribosomal RNA, 534 nt
Filed under: uncultured Serratia sp.
Lineage: Bacteria; Pseudomonadati; Pseudomonadota; Gammaproteobacteria; Enterobacterales; Yersiniaceae
Description: bacterial SSU rRNA
Rfam family: Bacterial small subunit ribosomal RNA
Source: RNAcentral
AGAGUUUGAUCCUGGCUCAGAUUGAACGCUGGCGGCAGGCCUAACACAUGCAAGUCGAGCGGUAGCACAAGAGAGCUUGCUCUCUGGGUGACGAGCGGCGGACGGGUGAGUAAUGUCUGGGAAACUGCCUGAUGGCGGGGGAUAACUAGUGGAAACGGUAGCUAAUACCGCAUAACGUCGCAAGACCAAAGUGGGGGACCUUCGGGCCUCACGCCAUCAGAUGUGCCCAGGUGGGAUUAGCUGGUAGGUGGGGUAACGGCUCACCUAGGCGACGAUCCCUAGCUGGUCUGAGAGGAUGACCAGCCACACUGGAACUGAGACACGGUCCAGACUCCUACGGGAGGCAGCAGUGGGGAAUAUUGCACAAUGGGCGCAAGCCUGAUGCAGCCAUGCCGCGUGUGUGAAGAAGGCCUUCGGGUUGUAAAGCACUUUCAGCGAGGAGAAAGGGUAAUGUGUUAAUAAGACAUUGCAUUGACGUUACUCGCAGAAGAAGCACCGGCUAACUCCGUGCCAGCAGCCGCGGUAAUACGGAGG